RNAcentral lists this microRNA precursor (74 nucleotides) under Myotis brandtii (Brandt's bat). RNAcentral's name for it is "mir-9193 microRNA precursor family". It matches the Rfam family "mir-9193 microRNA precursor family". The record is from Rfam by way of RNAcentral. Lineage: Eukaryota; Metazoa; Chordata; Mammalia; Chiroptera; Vespertilionidae.
AAGGGAGGUGAGGAAUUCCUCAGCCCGGAUUGUGAGAGAAUGCAGGCCAGGCCGAGGGACCCCACCCGUGCAUG